CACGCUCAUUCUCGUGUACACCAUCGAACUGUUGUCAUUAUAAAAACGCAGUGAGGUGUGACGCACCUUGUAACUCAACAGGAAGCAUUACAAAGUCAGAAGAAAAACGUUUCAAACGACAAAAACAACGCACUCAGAUGGCAGCGACAUGGCGCCUCUUCCCUGUUGACGACACCUGCUCUCAAUGAUGGAACAAUGUAUAUUUACUGUCACAGGAACUGCCCAACUGAUGACACCCUUCAGUGGAUCGCUCAGACUUGGCUCCCAGUCUAAAGGUUCUGAAUUGACUCUUCUGCUGCGUCUGGUCCAGACAACGCUCAGCUUGUUCGGUUUCCUGCAGUGUUAGUAUUUCUAAAGUUUCUGUAGCUAAUGAGGAGCAUUGUUGCUUCAAUAUUUUUCAACAGAAUAUCACACAAAGUAUUUAGCCUUAAAACUAAACAAUUAUCUCAAUUAUUCAAUAUAUAUCAAGUCUGUUCUUUUCUAAAUGAACUAGAUAGCACUUUCUUUAAAAUAAAGCAAGUAUAUUACAAAAUAUUGAGGGAAAAAGGAACAAAGUUCCAAUGCAUCAUUACUUUAACUAAAAGCAAACAUGCAGAGCUAUUAGAUCUGUUUUUCCUAGCUCAACUAGACUGAACUUUUUAUGCCUUUAGAAUAAAAUGAGUAUAUAAUGAGUAUAUAAUCAAGUGUUGAAAGAAAAAGUUGAAAGCAAUGUUCCAAGUAUUGUGACACUAGUUCAGUUAAGAAGAACAAAGUUAUUAUCAUCUGUUAAAAGUGCAGUAUCAUAAAUAAA
Long non-coding RNA from Odontomachus brunneus, 790 nucleotides. RefSeq lists it as uncharacterized. The transcript has 3 exons. The record is from RefSeq and is a predicted model, not a curated record. Lineage: Eukaryota; Metazoa; Arthropoda; Insecta; Hymenoptera; Formicidae.